ACUACUUGGAUAACCGUGGUAAUUCUAGAGCUAAUACAUGCUGAAAACCCCGACCCCUGGGAGGGGUGUAUUUAUUAGAUUAAACCAAUGCCCUCUGGGCUCUCUGGUGAUUCAUGAUAACUCGUCGAAUCGCACGGCCUUGCGCCGGCGAUGGUUCAUUCAAAUUUCUUCCCUAUCAGCUUUCGAUGUUUGGGUAGUGGCCAAACAUGGCUGCAACGGGUAACGGAGGGUUAGGGCUCGACCCCGGAGAAGGAGCCUGAGAAACGGCUACUACAUCCAAGGAAGGCAGCAGGCGCGCAAAUUACCCAAUCCCGACACGGGGAGGUAGUGACAAUAAAUACUGAUACAGGGCUCUUUUGGGUCUUGUAAUUGGAAUGAGUACAAUUUAAAUCCCUUAACGAGGAACAAUUGGAGGGCAAGUCUGGUGCCAGCAGCCGCGGUAAUUCCAGCUCCAAUAGCGUAUAUUAAAGUUGUUGUGGUUAAAAAGCUCGUAGUUGAACCUUGGGCCUGGCUGGCCGGUCCGCCUCACCGCGUGCACUGGUCCGGCCGGGCCUUUCCCUCCGCGGAACCCCAUGCCCUUCACUGGGCGUGGCGGGGAAACGGGACUUUUACUUUGAAAAAAUUAGAGUGCUCCAGGCAGGCCUAUGCUCGAAUACAUUAGCAUGGAAUAAUGAAAUAGGACGCGCGGUUCUAUUUUGUUGGUUUCUAGGACCGCCGUAAUGAUUAAUAGGGACAGUCGGGGGCAUCAGUAUUCAAUUGUCAGAGGUGAAAUUCUUGGAUCAAUUGAAGACUAACUACUGCGAAAGCAUUUGCCAGAUGUUUUCAUUAAUCAGGAACGAAAGUUAGGGGAUCGA
This 854-nucleotide ribosomal RNA is filed under the name Hirsutella sp. Its description in RNAcentral is "SSU rRNA". It matches the Rfam family "Eukaryotic small subunit ribosomal RNA", at positions 134 to 1001 of the family's 1831-position model. Lineage: Eukaryota; Fungi; Ascomycota; Sordariomycetes; Hypocreales; Ophiocordycipitaceae. The record is from RNAcentral.